UACGUAGGGGGCUAGCGUUGUCCGGAUUUAUUGGGCGUAAAGGGCGCGUAGGCGGCCAUGCGUGUCUUCCGUGAAAUCCCUCGGCUUAACUGAGGACGUGCGGAAGAAACUGCAAGGCUCGAGUCCGGGAGAGGGGGGUGGAAUUCCCAGUGUAGCGGUGAAAUGCGUAGAUAUUGGGAGGAACACCGGUGGCGAAGGCGGCCCCCUGGACCGGUACUGACGCUGAGGCGCGAAAGCGUGGGUAGCAAACGGG
This 253-nucleotide ribosomal RNA is filed under the name uncultured bacterium. RNAcentral describes it as "partial 16S ribosomal RNA". It matches the Rfam family "Bacterial small subunit ribosomal RNA", at positions 524 to 776 of the family's 1533-position model. The record is from RNAcentral.